This 499-nucleotide unclassified non-coding RNA is filed under the name uncultured Glomus. RNAcentral's name for it is "SSU rRNA". It matches the Rfam family "Eukaryotic small subunit ribosomal RNA", at positions 591 to 1092 of the family's 1831-position model. The record is from RNAcentral. Lineage: Eukaryota; Fungi; Glomeromycota; Glomeromycetes; Glomerales; Glomeraceae.
CCAAUAGCGUAUAUUAAAGUUGUUGCAGUUAAAAAGCUCGUAGUUGAAUUUCGGGAUCAAGUCGUCGGUCGUGCCUCGGUACGCACUGGUGACAUUGGUUUCUCCCUUCUGAAGAACCUUGAUGUCAUUAAUUUGGUGUCUUGGGGAAUCAGGACGGUUACUUUGAAAAAAUUAGAGUGUUUAAAGCAGGCUCACGCUUGAAUACAUUAGCAUGGAAUAAUGAAAUAGGACGUUUGAUUCUAUUUUGUUGGUUUCUAGGAUCGACGUAAUGAUUAAUAGGGAUAGUUGGGGGCAUUAGUAUUCAAUUGUCAGAGGUGAAAUUCUUGUAUUUAUUGAAGACUAACUACUGCGAAAGCAUUUGCCAAGGAUGUUUUCAUUAAUCAAGAACGAAAGUUAGGGGAUCGAAGACGAUCAGAUACCGUCGUAGUCUUAACCAUAAACUAUGCCGACUAGGGAUCGGAUGAUGUUAAUUUUUUAAUGACUCAUUCGGCGCCUUACG